AAGGUAGCAUAAUAAAUUGACUUUUAAUUGAAGUCUAGAAUGAAAGGAUUAAUGAAUAUUAACUGUCUUAAUUAAACUUUUAUAAUUUUCUUAUGAGGUGAAAAUUCCUUUUUAAUUUAAUAGACGAGAAGACCCUAGGAGUUUUUUUGUUGGGGCGACAUUAUAACAUGUAACUUAUAUAAUAAGUAUGUUUUAUUUAAAAAUGUUUUUGAUAAUAAAUAAGCUACCCUAGGGAUAACAGCAUAAAGUUUAUGACCUCGAUGUUGGAUUAGGGAACUUAAUAUUAAUUAUAUUAAUUGACUGUUCUGUUCGAACAAAUAUACCU
RNAcentral lists this ribosomal RNA (325 nucleotides) under Quantula striata. RNAcentral describes it as "partial large subunit ribosomal RNA". The record is from RNAcentral. Lineage: Eukaryota; Metazoa; Mollusca; Gastropoda; Stylommatophora; Dyakiidae.